CCAGGAAGUGGCCAGCAGACAGACCGAUUGUAUGCUCGUGAGCCGACUACCAGCGCCAGAGUUUUUCUCAUUAAGCUGCGUGUGACUGUAGAAGCGUUGGCCAGGCUUCUUUUUUUUUGAUGGCGAGCUAAAGAACGAAGACUCUAGUCCAAGGACUGUUCUUGGAAGAUUCCAGCCAAGAACCCACCACCUGUUCUGUCUGGGCGGGUAGGAGGCUCUCGAGCCGACCCUUUACAUUUUUUUCCCCCAUCUUUAACCUGCAGUACAUGGACUGUACUGCCAUCCUUUUUUUUCCCCAAGAACUCUUAAGUCUGAACUGAGAUUUAUUCAGAUCCAGAGACAUUAAUUACUGAAAUUAAAAUUGUGUAUAUGUAUAUAGUCACUGUUGUUUUCCAGAUUACUUUCCUGUUGAAUGGCAAUUCAACUUAUUGUGUGUAUAUAUCUGCUGUCCCUCACAAAUAGUUUAAUACACGGUGUCAACCAAGCUGCAAUUUGAGCUUUGCCUUCUCUCUCCAAGUCAAAACCCUAGUCUUUUGGUUCUUAGCCCAUAAAACCCCAUAUUUAUUGCAUUGAUUUGUAGCACGGAUAGGUUACAUGUGUGUGUCAAUUAAAACCACGCCCAGCAACUGGCGUGCAGUGCACAACGUGCUCAACACGUCAGACUGUUGUUACACAUCAGGCAAUGGAACGUGAUGGCGGCGGCAGUUUCAACACAGGGGCUCGGUGGUCGCAAACGUAGAGACGACAUAUGGGUGUAUUUUAAAUAUAACCCAGCAGAUAAUAAAACAGAGUGUAUUGUGAAGGAAGACAAUGACAAAUGUGGCCACAAAAUAUGCGGAAAAAAUACGGCCAACCUUAAGCGGCACCUUAAGGCCCACCACAAGGAUAUUUUUUCGAAGGUAAGUUAAAAAUGCUGUUAACAUAAUCGAUAAAUGUCAUAGUAAGCUAAUACAUUAGUACGUUUUCCACAUACUCCUGGCGCAAAUGGGCUGCUAACUUCAGGCUAAAGUUAGCUUUUGUUACGCUAACGUCAAUUCAUUAUGUGUGUGUUACUUUAGCAGCAUGUUUAGCCAUGUUUACAUUCAGUGACGGUGUGGUUAUCUCUUUGUGAGUACCUUCUGUCAGCACGUAACUUGAUAUGUUAAACCGGUCGAGUUACUGUUAUACGUAGAGUCUGCUAGCUUUAGCCUAAAAGCCACAAGUGACGUUGUGCAGCCCCAUUAAGGAAUUAGGAAUGAAUUGAUUAUUUUAUUACAUGGUUUGCACAAAUGAAAGAGAUGUAUGAUAUCUGUUGUAAUUGCACUGGCAGACAGGGCCAAGUUGAGCUUAUGUGUUCCUCAUCCAUCACUCAUAUUUUGGGCAUGUUUAUGUUCAUUGUACUUUAACAAAUUCUGAGAAAUAAAGCCACAAUUGCUGAAGUAGAAGGUUUUUGUUUUUUUGGAGUAAUGAACUUUGAUUCCACUGUUACCACUUUAUCUGUGUGUAAUACACAAUCCUUGGAUCAGAAAUUUGCUGUUGGGUGGAAACCUUAUAUGUCUAAAACCAUUCCUUUAUUGUUAUUAUUUGUGAAAAUAGCAGAUCUGCAAGCUUACAAUGGGUUGAACUUAUAGAUCUGCUGCUAUUUUCACAACUUAUGUGUGACACUGCCCAACAGCAAUCUCCAAUACUUAUUGACCUAAAUUAAUUUGUUAAAAGACUAUACUUAUAUACUUAUACUUUUUAUUCUUU
Entelurus aequoreus (snake pipefish) is the source of this 1728-nucleotide long non-coding RNA. RefSeq lists it as uncharacterized. The record is from RefSeq and is a predicted model, not a curated record. NCBI's taxonomy places the organism in Eukaryota, Metazoa, Chordata, Actinopteri, Syngnathiformes, Syngnathidae. The transcript is spliced from 3 exons.